Non-coding RNA from Aedes aegypti (yellow fever mosquito), 66 nucleotides. Lineage: Eukaryota; Metazoa; Arthropoda; Insecta; Diptera; Culicidae. The record is from Rfam.
UGCCCAGCAACUCCUAUCCCUACCUCCUCGCGGUACUGGCCGGGGUACGAGUAACCUCAGGGAAGA